AUGUCUUCCUCAAGCUCCCGCGCCACCUCGCGGAUGCAGAGCCGGGCGCGUGUGGACAUGCAUGUCUUCGUCUGUCCGCGGUGCCGGGCGGGCGUUGAUCAGAGGGUUUCUCGCACACCGAGGAACCAGAAUCGUCCGUUCUACGUGUGCAGCGAGAAUGGGGUAAGAACCGGGGAAAUUGCACCAUUUUCAUGGUCGGGAUCUUUGAGCAAUGGGUUGAUCUGUUUGGCGCUCAUGCAGGUGAAAUGCUUCUUUCUUUGGGUCGAUGCUCUGGCCAAGACUCUGAUGAAUGAACUGCAAGAAGAGCAUGAAGAAUGGUUGCGCAUGCUACCACAAACGACAGUGGCCGCAGCAUGA
Molecule: ribosomal RNA, 357 nt
Filed under: Triticum aestivum (bread wheat)
Lineage: Eukaryota; Viridiplantae; Streptophyta; Magnoliopsida; Poales; Poaceae
Description: partial small subunit ribosomal RNA
Source: RNAcentral